Molecule: transfer RNA, 76 nt
Filed under: Pseudomonas phage Noxifer
Lineage: Duplodnaviria; Heunggongvirae; Uroviricota; Caudoviricetes; Chimalliviridae
Description: tRNA-Asn
Rfam family: tRNA
About the family: Transfer RNA (tRNA) molecules are approximately 80 nucleotides in length. Their secondary structure includes four short double-helical elements and three loops (D, anti-codon, and T loops).
Source: RNAcentral
UCCAGCAUAUCUCAGUUGGUAGAGAACACGGCUGUUAACCGUGGUGUCCCUGGUUCGAGUCCAGGUGCUGGAGCCA